This is a long non-coding RNA of Brassica napus (rape), 4934 nucleotides long. RefSeq lists it as uncharacterized. The transcript has 2 exons. NCBI's taxonomy places the organism in Eukaryota, Viridiplantae, Streptophyta, Magnoliopsida, Brassicales, Brassicaceae. The record is from RefSeq and is a predicted model, not a curated record.
AUGAUGAAUUUAUUGUUAGUUUAAUAAAAAAACUUAUUAUAUAAUUAGAUGGACCAACAUAUUUCUCUAAUGAUCCUAAGAAUCAUCCUAGUGAUGACAUAUGGCUACAAAAGGAAGUUGUAAUGCUUUUCAAAUAAUAUAUAGGGGAUGUAGAUCUGGACAAAGCAGAAAGAAUCACAAAUACUUUCAAAAUUUAGUAUACUAGGGUCGGCCCGCCCUACGGGCGGGAUAUAAUUUACUUGUAAUCAAGAUUAUUAUUUUUAUAUUAUUUGUGGUUUGUGUUUUACUUUUACAUUUGCAAGAGAUGUAUAUGAGAUAUACUAUUUUCUUAAAUUUUAAAUUAAUCAAAAAAACGAAUUUUUACUAUUAGCAUAAUCUCUCUCUCUCUCUCUCCCUCCCUCCCUCUCUCUCUCUCUCUCUCUCUAUUAAUGCUAUGGACGUGUUAGUAACCAAAAAUACAUAAAUAUAUCAGUUAAAAAGUAUUUCAAAAUGUUUACCUUACUUGAAAUUUAAAGUGAUAUUAACUUUUAUUGUGUAUGUUUUGUUAUUUUUGUUAUAGAUCAUGAUCAUCUUAAUAUUAAAAUGUUCAUGAAUACAUAAUAGUUUUCCAUAUUUUCUUUGUUUAUUCUACUGUAAUUAUGAUAAUUUUGAUAAUAAGUAAAAUAAUUUUUAAUACAAAAAUCUUAGAUUAUAUUUUUUCUUAUGAAUAUUUUUAAAAUUUAUGUCUUUGAUAUUAUAUUAUUAAUUAUGUGCUAAAAUACUAUUUUAGGUUGAUGUCCAAUGAAACAUUAUUUUCAUAUAUAUAUAUAUAUAUAUAUAUAUAUUUGAAACUAUUUUUUUCAUAUCGUAUUAGUUCUAGUUGUUUUUAUCCAAAAUAGGAGGUGCGGUUGGACGAAUUUUCUUUCAAAUGUGUUAACGCUGUGAUUGUUUUUAUAUUAUGUUACCAUGUGUCAUUUGUCGAGAAGAGAGUACAUAUGUUAUGGGAAGUGAGUGUUCUAAAUAAGGCAUAAGUUAGUGUUUGGACAAAACUACAACGAUUCAAUUUCUUGUAAGAACAUGUUUAGUAUUCCACACUCAGCUCAUUCGUCCACCGUACUCAUUUUAUUGUGAUAUAUGCAGACUCAAACUUGGAAGUAUAAUAAGAAAAAUGCAUUCUAUUUAUAUAUCAAAACUUAGUUAAUUUUGGAGACACAGAAGCAGCCAAGUUAAAUAGAAUUCAUAAUCCAGUAGUCGGUACGUGAAAGAUGUAAUUGAAAUAUACUCACAAAUCACAAUCAUGCAUACUCACACAUGAUUAUAUAUCCAUAAGUGUAUGCACUAACUGUUGUAUCCUUGAGAUCAGGGCUACAACCUUUUAGGGAACCACAGUAAUGAAAAAUCAACACCAAGAUGUUGGAAAUUAUUAUGAGCUAAAGAUAAAUAUAUCUUUUUAAAAAAAAGUUCACUAAAAAAAGUCAUCUCCCUUCUUCUAUAUUCUUCCUCUUUUCUCUUCUUCUCUGUUUAUUCUGUUUCUCAUCUCAUUUUUUUUUUUGUUUCUUAUCACUUUUUUGUCACAAUCCGUCAAGUACAACGAUGAGCUUAACAAAUCUUUUUCAUCACCUUUUUGUGUUGUUUAUUAAGAGAAAUGAACUGAUGAUUUUCUUGGAAGAAAACCUUCUUAUUUAUAAUGGAGGAUUAACACAAAGAAAUGAAUGAGGAGAUUCAUUGAAUGCGAGAUCGUGUGAGAAGUAGAGAGUAGGUAUUAAUGUGAAUGUUAAUGAAGAUGCAUGAACCAAGUUAGUUUUCGUAACGGCUCCAGAUUAAAGAAGUCUAUUCGGCUUCCGACUGACAUUGAUCGGAAUCGUUCGUCACCGGUGAAACCGUUGGAUUUCUAUUGACAGUUGACUGAACGGGAAUUGUUGCUCGACGGCCACUUUCCCUAAGUUUCGUAUACUGUUUUUUUUUCUUUUUUUAGAGAAUAUGUAUUUGGACCGUAGUAAACACAUAAAAUCCAUUAAAUUCAAGAAUUAAGGAAACAUUGACUUUUGAUUGACCGUGACACGUGUCGGAUUCUCAAGACUCAAAUUAGUGACGUGUCCGCCUAUGUGGACAGCCUAGGAGUAAAGGAAACCCUUCUUUAUAUAUAUAGUAAGUAUACUCACAAAUCACAAUCAUGCAUACUCACACAUGAUUAUAUAUCCAUAAGUGUCUGCACUAACUGUUGUAUCCUUAAGAUCAGGGCCAGCAACCUUUUAGGGAGCCACAAUAAUGAAAAAUCAACACCAAAAUGUUGGAAAUUAUUAUGAGCUAAAGAUAAAUAGAUCUUUUAAAAAAAAAGUUCACUAAAAAAAGUUAUCUCCCUUCUUCUAUCUUCUUCCUCUUUUCUCUUCUUCUCUUUUUAUUCUGUUUCUCAUCUCAUUUUUCUGUUUCUUAUCAAUUUUCUGUCACAAUCCGUCAAGUACAACGAUGAGCUUAACAAAUCUUUUUCAUCACCUUUUUGUGUUGUUUAUUAAGAGAAAUGAACUGAUGAUUUUCUUGGAAGAAAACCUUCAUAUUUAUAAUGGAGGAUUAACACAAAGAAAUGACUGAGGAGAUUCAUUGAAUGCAAGAUCGUGUGAGAAGUAGAGAGUAGGUAUUAAUGUGAAUGUUAAUGAAGGUGCAUGAAUCAAGUUAAUUUCCGUAAGGGCUCCAGAUUAAAGAAGUCUAUUCGGCUUCCGACUGAUAUUGAUCGAAAUCGUUCGUCACCGGUGAAACCGUUGGAUUUCUAUUGACAGUUAACUGAACGGGAAUUGUUGCUCGACGGCCACUUUCCCUAAGUUUCGUAUACCAUUUUUUUUUUAUUUUUUUAGAGAAGAUGUAUUUGGACUGUAGUAAACACAUAAAACCCAUUAAAUUCAAGAAUUAAUAAAACAUUGACUUUUGAUUGACCGUGACACGUGUCGGCUUCUCAAGACUCGAAUUAGUGACGUGUCCGUCUAUGUUGACAGCCUAGAAGUGAAAGAAACCUUCUUUAUAUUUAGUAUAUAUGCUCCACGCCCACCCUUAACUCAAGCAGAAAAUAUAUUCUUGCAGUUGUGGAGCAGUAUCGUUUUUAAGUUUUUUCUUAGACUGUGGACCUUUGUUUUUCUUUCAGUCCCAUACUUUUAUUUUUCUAACAUUUCCUAUCUUUUUCCUUUUUCUGUAUGAUAAUUCAUUUUACAUUUAAAAUAAAAAAUAUUACACUACUUUAUUCUAUAUUAGUAUUUUAAUUUUAUUUUCCUAUGUCGAAAUCAUAUGAAAAUAUCUAUUUAUAUCAGUGUUUUUAAACCCGGACCGAACCGGCGGUCGGACCGGGUUGAACCAUGAACCAAAAAUAAUCCGGGUUGGGUUAGUGUUAAAACCCAACUAAAAUCGAACCAGUUAAAAACCCCUAUCAAACCGUCAAAAACCCGGGAACCGGUGACCCAAUGAACCGGCCAAACCCCGGUUCGUAUAUAAGCCAAAAUCUUGUUAAUGAAACAAUUAAUUUUCUUCCUCUUAAAAUAAAAAUAAGAUUUAUUAAAGAUUAAUAAAGUAUCGUCUCUUUUCUUUUUCUUUUGUCGUCUCUACAACUCGUAAAUUAUAAGAUUCACAAAGUUUAAUAUUCACGUCAAGAUAUUUUUUUUGUCUACUUCUCACUUUGUUUUAAUUUUAUUUCAUGAUCACUUGUUUUGAAGAUUUAAAUAAUUGAAACAUUUACGUUUGUGAAAUUUGUAUUUCAAAAUAUAACUUUUACCUAAUGUGUAUAUAAUUUUUUUCUUAAAAGAUGAUGAACAUUUAGAGUGAUAAAAUCUGCGAAUAAAGUAUAAAUGUGCUUUUCAUAUUGAUUUUAGAUUUUAAUUGUUAUUUUUAAGUUUUUCUAUACAUUAUGGCUAUUUAAACAUUUUAUUUGAUAUGAUCUUUUUUUUAAGAAUAUGCAUAUUGUUUAUAAAAUAUCAUUAAAUUUAGUUUAAUCUAAGUAAACCCGAUCGAAUCCGGUUCAGACCCGGUCAAACCACAAUGAUCCAUGACCCAAAAAAUUCUCGGUUCGCUAGCCGAUCCGGUUUUAAAAACAUUGAUUUAUAUAGUAUAAAAUGAUUAGUUUGAUAUAUUAAGGAUAUAAAAAUAAAUAAUUAUCUUAAAUAAUUAUAAUGUGUUAUAAGAUCCCGAAGUUAUAAUAGUCAAUAAUAACAUACAAUAUGGUUUUGGUGGUCUCUCUUUUCAUUCAAUACAGUAUUUUGAAAGACUUUACUCCAUUAAUAUAUUACUAUAUCUUAAUGAUUUUCAAGAAUCUAUUCAAUAUUACUUGAUAUUUUUUUUCAAGAUUUACUCAUGGAUGAUAUUACACCAUUAAUUAUGAUUUAUUAUUUCCAUAUCGGUUUUUAUUUUUAAUUAAUUUGUAGAUAUCUUACUAUUUCUUUUUCUAUAUAUGACUUGUUCUGUUCAAAAGUCUAAUUAAUUACUAUUUGAUCUUUUAUUUACAUUUAUUACAAAUUUUUUUUAUGCUAAAAUACAUUUAUUACAUCUUUUGAUAUCAAUAUAUAUAUGCAUUAAAUUUCUUAUAUACAUAUAUAUGAUGUUCACAAAUGCAAUACAAUUACAUCCAUUCAUUUCUCUUGUAUCACACAAAAUGGCUAAAAACACAAUUUUUGCUAUCUUUAUGAUCGUUCUUGUUCUAGGGAUGGGGAUGAAGGACACACAAGGACAACAAUUGUGUCAUGAACGAUUUAUAGGAGCAACCCCUUGUGUACCUCCACAGUGUGCCGAACAAUGUACUGCAAAGUGGGGAGAGAGAGCGGGAAGAGGGACAUGUCUAGGAGGGCCAGGACCCGCCAAUACCUGCCUCUGCACUUUUAAAUGCCAAAUUUGAUACUUUUUUUUGUUACUGUCAUCAGAUAUAUUGUAAUAAAAUAAUGGGUUGGAAAAAAAAGAAUAUAGAAUUUUUUUUUUUAGUUUAA